This 442-nucleotide ribosomal RNA is filed under the name uncultured bacterium. RNAcentral describes it as "partial 16S ribosomal RNA". It matches the Rfam family "Bacterial small subunit ribosomal RNA", at positions 338 to 795 of the family's 1533-position model. The record is from RNAcentral.
CCUACGGGUGGCAGCAGUAGGGAAUCUUUCACAAUGGGCGAAAGCCUGAUGGAGCAACGCCGCGUGCAGGAUGAAGGCCUUCGGGUUGUAAACUGCUUUUAUAAGCGAGAAAUAUGAUGGUAACUUAUGAAUCAUGAUCGGCUAACUACGUGCCAGCAGCCGCGGUCAUACGUAGGAUCCGAGCAUUAUCCGGAGUGACUGGGUGUAAAGAGUUGCGUAGGUGGAAUAAUAAGUAGCUAGUGAAAUCUGGUGGCUCAACCAUUCAGACUAUUAGCUAAACUGUUAAGCUCGAGACCGUUAGGGGUAACUGGAAUUUCUAGUGUAGGAGUGAAAUCCGUAGAUAUUAGAAGGAACACCAAUAGCGUAGGCAGGUUGCUGGGACGGUUCUGACACUAAGGCACGAAAGCGUAGGGAGCAAACGGGAUUAGAUACCCGAGUAGUC